UUUAAAUGCAGUCAUGAGUUUCUCUGUCUAACUUUGAUCAUCGUCUUAUUUAAAUUUUUUUAUGAUUAGUAUGUUUAUUGUUAUUAAAUGAUAAAAAAUAAAUAUUACAUUAUGCGUAACUUAUAUUUUUUAUUUUUUUUCAAAAAUUUUUUAAAUAAAACAAACGAUUAAAGUUGGAUACAGAAACUGGUUGUGUUUUAA
Oryza sativa Japonica Group (Japanese rice) is the source of this 201-nucleotide microRNA precursor. It matches the Rfam family "MIR812 microRNA precursor family". The record is from Rfam. NCBI's taxonomy places the organism in Eukaryota, Viridiplantae, Streptophyta, Magnoliopsida, Poales, Poaceae.